AGUAGGUGUCUGGGUGUGAACCACACCAGGGACUGAAGAAGAGUGCUGCUUUCAGAAGAAGUGCCUUCUGUUUGAAGACAUCCAGUGGUGCCCAAAGAUGUUUGGAGCAAGCAGAAGGCAUCAGAUGGUGAACCUUUGAACUGCUGCUGGAGGAAAACGUGCUCAACUGUGGAUGCCACAAGCAGCCUUGGAAAUUUCACUUCAUUUAGGUUUUUCUGAGGAUGAGAAAUGGUCUGUGCCAUAAAUCAGCACUGGUAAUACAGAAACUUCAGUCUGGUAGAACACAGAGCAAUCUGCAGAUCAAGAGCUUAAUGGGCAGUUGAAUGAACAGGAUGAGUAUCUACAUGAUUUCCUUAGCCCAAGGCUUAGACUUCUCCAGCUGCAAGAGGAGGGUCAAAAUAGAGGAGAGGAUAGAUGGCCAGUACCAAGAUUUCCACCAAGAUUGUUGCAGGUGAAAAAAAACAACCUGACUUUCCCCACUGAAGGACAGUGGCAUGUUCACCACUGCUACCAUGCAACAGAAAGAACUUCAUG
Long non-coding RNA from Pogoniulus pusillus (Red-fronted tinkerbird), 534 nucleotides. RefSeq lists it as uncharacterized. Lineage: Eukaryota; Metazoa; Chordata; Aves; Piciformes; Lybiidae. The record is from RefSeq and is a predicted model, not a curated record. The transcript is spliced from 6 exons.